UACGUAGGGUGCAAGCGUUGUCCGGAUUUAUUGGGCGUAAAGAGCUCGUAGGCGGCUCGUUACGUCGGCUGUGAAAACCCGCGGCUUAACUGCGGGCUUGCGGUUGAUACGGGCGGGCUAGAGUUCGGUAGGGGAGACUGGAAUUCCUGGUGUAGCGGUGAAAUGCGCAGAUAUCAGGAGGAACACCGGUGGCGAAGGCGGGUCUCUGGGACGAUACUGACGCUGAGGAGCGAAAGCGUGGGGAGCGAACAGG
RNAcentral lists this ribosomal RNA (253 nucleotides) under uncultured bacterium. RNAcentral describes it as "partial 16S ribosomal RNA". It matches the Rfam family "Bacterial small subunit ribosomal RNA", at positions 524 to 776 of the family's 1533-position model. The record is from RNAcentral.